CCAAAUGAGGGGUGGAGGGCGAAGGAGGUGUGGUGAGCCCCAGAGGCCCGCGCCCGCCCUCUCGUGCUCCACGCGCCCCAACCCCGGGAUUUCGGCCGGGCUGGGUGAGGUGGGUCGUGGGCGUCGACGCAGUCCUACCCUCUGCUGACUGCGGGCCGGGCCCUGCCCGAGGGCGGGGCGUGGGUCCCGGAGUGAGUUCUCACGCGCUGCUCGCUCCGCGCUGAGCGCUACAGUAGAGGACGCUGACUUCCUCCAAGUUAAGGAAGAGAGAGGAGGCAAAGACGGCACCCAGUGGUCACCUGGACCCCCUACUGUCACUGGGAAACAGGUGAACAGGCCAGGAGAGCAGGUGUGCAGGGGACAGCUGUUGAGAGUUUGAUGCGGAACGAUGGAGAGACCUGGGGACACUCAGGGAUGGUGACAUUGGAGAUAGGCUCCAUUAGCCCUCCUCCAGGAUGAAGCAUGUGCCAGAGACCUGGAGAACCCCGCUGGGGCUGAGCUUUUGAGAAUCUGGGUAUCGUCCAUUCCAUCAGCCCACACACCUCAGGGCCAGGAGCAGAUGCUAGGACGGAAGGCAAAGAGCACAUCGACAUCUGCAAGUUCCUCCAGAGCCUUUGACCUCGAACUUGGAGCAUCACUGUUAGACGUUAGAGGUGAGUUAGAUGUGAGCAGAGGCAUCGUGAACAUGUCGGAGGGACGGUGGGCGGCAUCCCUUCCCCUCCCUUCCUAUUGCGACAGACUCGUUUGGCAGUUUUCUGUCAGAUGUUAAUUCUUGCAAAUGCCCUGUGCCACCCACCGCUGGUGACAAUGGUGACCACUGCCACUGUGGUAGCAGAGGUGACCCUCUCGAAGCUCUUCUCCUAACGGGGUGGUGGUUGGCCAGGUGCUGCCAUCUUAUCAGCCAUCCUUCCCAGGGCUGAGACCUGCCCGUGGAUCUCCAAGUGUUACCUCAGGAAGCAGCAGAAGAAAUCAGGCUCCCGACAGGUCAGGACGCUUGAGAGGGCGGCACUUGGACAGCCUGGUGGCCUUCCUCGUGGCCACUUGGAUUCUCCUCCUGCAUCUGAAGUGCGACAGUGAAAGCUGCCACUAGAACUCCAGGCACUGAGGGUCACUGGAGGAAGACAGUGGCUGGAGGUGAGGUCUCCCCGUUGGAAGGUGAAUGGUGACAUCCACGGGUGAUUUGUUGAACAGCUAAUAAGGAUGGAUUCAGCGUACAACCCUCCAACGUGGUGCCACGUGCACAUGCGUGUGGCAGCCUGCGGGGCUGCCGAGGUAACGCCAUGGUCCCUCUGUAGUCAGUGAGACUGAAUCUGGUCUUUAAUGAAUUGUGGCACAAAAAAUCUUCUGUGAUAGCCCUAACCGAAGACUUCUUAAUAUAUUGAAAUGCCCCUUUUUAUUAAGCAAAAUGCCUUUUUAUUUUGAUGCACAGAAUGGAAUUUUUUGCUUCAUGUCUCAGAUUUAUAUUAUUUUUUUAAACUCUCGACAUUUACUUCCUUUGUGUAUUUUAAAUCACGUACAUGUGCUCUUUGUAUAGUUGUAAAAUUUUAAUAAAAAUCAACAUAUUU
Molecule: non-coding RNA, 1565 nt
Organism: Delphinapterus leucas (beluga whale)
Lineage: Eukaryota; Metazoa; Chordata; Mammalia; Artiodactyla; Monodontidae
Source: RefSeq, a predicted model, not a curated record